Molecule: long non-coding RNA, 419 nt
Filed under: Homo sapiens (human)
Lineage: Eukaryota; Metazoa; Chordata; Mammalia; Primates; Hominidae
Description: HSALNT0217883
Source: RNAcentral
AGGAAAUCCUGGGAAUCGUUUUCUAGAAAAAACACCUCUGUCCAUAUGAUGACUUUUCCAUUUGCUUUGUAUUCUGAUCCGUGGAAUAUCUUCACAUUUGUUAUAGUCUCCAUGGACUUCCCAUCUAUAGGACUUAGACACCCUUGCUAACGUUCUUGUCAUCAUCCACCCACCGGAUGUGCAUGCGCUCCUGGGGAUCCUCCGCGUCUGCCUUCCCACAGGUGAUGCUGAAGUCCCUCGUCUCUAGCAGUGCCUGCCUCGAGGAAUCCAUGUUCUCUGCAGUGAUCUGGACCAUAACGCCAUCUUCCACAAUACUGGACUUGGCAAGGUAUCCAGAAGAGGAUUUCAGAGCGCCACCGAACACAAAAAAACUGCUUUGAGUUUGCAUAUAGUUACAGUAGUACUGAAAAAUCCUCGCA